This is a long non-coding RNA of Rana temporaria (common frog), 773 nucleotides long. RefSeq lists it as uncharacterized. Lineage: Eukaryota; Metazoa; Chordata; Amphibia; Anura; Ranidae. The record is from RefSeq and is a predicted model, not a curated record. The transcript has 4 exons.
CGUGCAGAACAGUUUUUUUAACAUUCAGCUCCUAUUGAUUUAAUGGGGUUCAGAUUUCAUUACCCGAACUUUAGUAAUGUUCAAUGAACCUGCCCCAAACUGAAUACAGGUCAUUCUGCUUAUCACAAUUUAUAAUAAUGCCCUUAGAUAAGUUGUAUAUAUAGUAAAUGUAUCAAUUCUAACUGAAGCACAACUUCUAGCAUUCAUGUCUCAUAUACCGUAGAUGUCAAAUGCCACCCUCUGUGGUACUGGGUUAAUUAAGGGCAAGGCACUUAAUAAGAAUUAAGUAGGUGUGACUUACAUAGCUCAUAUAUAAACUCAUAUGUAAACUGACAGUGUAAAUCUGUGUUUACUGAAAUAACAAUACUUAUACAAUGUCUUACACAAUUCUGCUUCUCCUCUUCCUUCAGAUCACAGGGUCACUCUGUGAUGGAGAGAACUAUAAUGGCGUACCUGUGUGGGCGAUUGCCCUUCUGGUUCUGGCAGGUUUUGUGCUCUUCAUGAUGCUCAUAGCGUUUGCAUUCAUGCUUGCUUACCGUCGUAGACAAAUAUGAAGUACAGAUGUUAUGAAGCUCUAGUUCACAAAAUUACUUUAGGAUGUCCGUCACCUAAAGGACCACUCCAUUGUGUUACCUUGGAGGAAGACUUCAUACCUUUAUCGAAGGAGAUUCUUUAUUAAUUGUGAUCUUGAUUGUGGUCCUUAACCUCUAUCUUUGUUGAAAUAGUUAAUGAAUAAUGUGACUUUUUUAUUAAACUUUUGUUAUUUAAGCAAA